AUAAGCUGCUUAUGCCAGCCAGGGGAUGGCUCGGCUCAAGUGCUGAAGAAGGACGUGCCAAGCUGCGAUAAGCCUCGGCGAGGCGCAUGGAGCCAUUGAACCGAGGAUGUCCUAAUGGGAAAUCCUAAGUCUAAGACUUGAUCCUCAAGGAUCGGGAACGUCCCGGAUUGAAACAUCUUAGUAGGGACAGGAAGAGAAAUCAACCGAGAUACCGUCAGUAACGGCGAGUGAACGCGGUAGAGCCUAAACCGAAUCCUGCAAGGGAGAUGUGGUGUUAUAAGCUGGUCUAAACGUUUUGAUCUGGAAGUCGAAGUGGCCUGGAAUGGCCUGCCAUAGAGUGUGAGAGCCACGUAGUCGUAACAGAUCAAUACCGAGACCAUGACUUGAGUACCGUGCGUCGGAAAUCGCGCGGGAAUUUGGGGGUCACCAACCUCCAAGGCUAAAUACAACUUGAGACCGAUAGCGUAGUAGUAGUGUGAACGAAAGCUGAAAAGUACCCCAAAUAGGGAGGUGCAAAGAGCCUGAAAUUGGCUGGCGAUAGUGCGUUAGGGCGCCAAAGGAUCUUUCUUUCGAAGGAAACGGUGGCAACGCCGCAGUACGAGAGAGACUGCCAGCGUUCUAACAUGCGUUUUGAAGAACGAACCAGGGAGUGCAUAUUGGCGGCGAGGCUAAUUCUUUAACAGAGGAAGCCGUAGCGAAAGCGACAAGCGCGCAUGAGAAGAGGCGCGACGUAUACAAGUGCGUGCAGUCGUCCGUAUGCGACCCGAAGCCGGGCGAUCUAGGCGUAGGUAGGUCGAAGCGUGGCGAAAGCUGCGUGGAGGACCGUUUGAGGUGUUGAUAUGCAAAUCGCUCUCGUGACCCGCGUCUAGGGGUGAAAGUCCAAUCGAGGUCGGAAAUAGCUGGUUCCUCCCGAAACAUAUCGCAGUAUGACCUGGUCUGAGAUAGUCGGCGGAGUAGAGCACUGAUUGGGGAAGCCGGACUCGAAAGGGUCUGUUCUCUUGUCAAACUCCAAAACCGCCGUCGUCGUAGACGACCAGCAGUCCGGGCUGGGGGGUAAGCUUCUAGUCCGUGAGGGAGACAACCCUGACCGUGGUUAAGGUCCCCAAAUAUCGGCCAAGUGUCAACACUUAAGGGAGUCCUGGGUCAUAAACAACUGGGAGGUUAGCUUAGAAGCAGCUAUCCUUUAAAGAGUGCGUAACAGCUCACCAGUCGAGAUUCAGGGCCCCGAAAAUGGACGGGGCUAAGCCGAUUACCGAUACCACGGAGCACCGCAAGGUGAUCUAGUAGGGAGGCGCUCUGCGUGGGCAGAAGCAUCUGCGUGAGCAGGUGUGGACCGCGUAGAGACGAAAAUCCUGGUAGCAGUAGCAGCAAAAUCGGGUGAGAAUCCCGAUCGCCGUAAGGGCCAGGGUUCCUCGGCAAUGUUCGUCAGCCGAGGGUCAGUCGGUCCUAAGACGUACCUUAAUCGGAGUACGCCAAAUGGGAAACAGGUUAAUAUUCCUGUACCUUUCAACAUUAAAACUGACGCUUCCGGAUAUGUCAAGCGUCCUUGCCUGGGCGUUCAAUCGUAUAAUCCUGUGGAGAGCCGUAAUGGCGAGAACCAGGAGAAAGCGUGAUGACGUAAGUUGGCAAAUUCCAGGAGUCCGUGAAAAGGGAGUUGAAAGUCCGUACCGAGAUCCAACACUGGUGCCCCAAGCUGAGAAGGCUAAGGCGUUUCGGCAUAUGCUAGCUAAGGGAAUUCGGCAAAUUAGCCACGUAACUUCGGGAUAAGUGGUGCCUGCUUUGCAAAAAGCAGGUCGCAGUGACGAGGGGACUCUAACUGUCUAAUAACAACAUAGGUGAUUGCGAAUCCGUAAGGACUAGUACAAUCACUGAAUCCUGCCCAGUGCAGGUACCUGAAAACCCGGUUCAACGGGAGGAAGGGCCUGUCAACGGCGGGGGUAACUAUGACCCUCUUAAGGUAGCGUAGUACCUUGCCGCUUAAUUGGCGGCUUGCAUGAAUGGAACAAUGAGAGUCUCACUGUCCCUAGCUGGUACCCGGUGAACCUUACAUUCCAGUGCAGAGUCUGGAGACCCCUAAUGGGAAGUGAAGACCCCGUGGAGCUUUACUGCAGCCUGCCGUUGGGCUGUGGUUCUGAUUGUAGAGCAUAGGUAGGAGACGUCGAAGCUCGGGCGCCAGUCCGAGUGGAGUCGCCCUUGGAAUACUACCCUUUCGGAGCCGCCGCCCUCACUCUGAGAAGAGGACCUCGGUAGGUGGGCAGUUUGGGUGGGGCGCCACGCCCUUGAAAAGAUAUCAAGGGCGCCCUAAGGUUGACUCAGUUGGGUCGGAAACCCAACAAAGAGUGUAAAGGCAUAAGUCAGCCUGAUGUUACCUCGCAUAGCAAGAGGUGAUAAGACGAAAGUCGGGCUUAGCGAACCUCUCAGCUCUCUUGGUGAGAGCGUUAGAUGACAGAAAAGCUACCCCGGGGAUAACAGAGUCGUCACCGGCAAGAGCACAUAUCGACCCGGUGGCUUGCUACCUCGAUGUCGGUUCUUUCCAUCCUGGCCGUGCAGCAGCGGCCAAGGGUGAGGUUGUUCGCCUAUUAAAGGAGAUCGUGAGCUGGGUUUAGACCGUCGUGAGACAGGUCGGUUACUAUCUAUUAGGGGUGUUUUGUGGUCUGAGGGUAAGCUGGUUUUAGUACGAGAGGAACAAGCCAGCGGCGCCACUGGUCGAUCGGUUGUCUGGCAAGGCACUGCCGAGCAGCUACGCGCUAACGGAUAAGGGCUGAAAGCAUCUAAGCCCGAAGCUGUGCCUGAAAAGAGACCACUCUGAGGACCCUCGUAAAAGACGAGUUUGAUAGAGUCGGGGUGUACGCACCGAGGCAACGAGGUGUUCAGCCCGCGACUACUAAAAGUCCGCUCAGCAGUC
RNAcentral lists this ribosomal RNA (2905 nucleotides) under bioreactor metagenome. RNAcentral's name for it is "bacterial LSU rRNA". It matches the Rfam family "Archaeal large subunit ribosomal RNA". The record is from RNAcentral.